This is a small nucleolar RNA of Phragmites australis (common reed), 139 nucleotides long. RefSeq annotates it as small nucleolar RNA Z247. The record is from RefSeq and is a predicted model, not a curated record. NCBI's taxonomy places the organism in Eukaryota, Viridiplantae, Streptophyta, Magnoliopsida, Poales, Poaceae. The transcript has a single exon.
AUGCUCGACGAUGAAGAUCUUCUUCAGUACAUCAUCACUGGUCUGGGUCCAGACUUCAGUGAGGUGGUGUCCGCCGUGUGUGCCAGGGUGGAACCAAUCUCAUUGGGCGAGUUGUAUUCCCAACUCCUCAAUUUUGAGA